Ailuropoda melanoleuca (giant panda) is the source of this 1187-nucleotide long non-coding RNA. RefSeq lists it as uncharacterized. The transcript has 4 exons. The record is from RefSeq and is a predicted model, not a curated record. Lineage: Eukaryota; Metazoa; Chordata; Mammalia; Carnivora; Ursidae.
CACGCCCCCUAGCCCGAGCCCGGCUCCACUCGAACCCGACGGGGUCGUCCAGGGCGGCGGGACUGCAGGGGCUUGAGAUUCGGCAGUGACCGCAUCACACCACUAGAGGAUCGUUCCCACAUAGGAACUUUUGCCCGCUCCACAAAUACUGUUUACGGGUCAGCUCCUGCUGCGUGCCGCGCGCUGUUCACGGGCUCCAGGAGGCGGCUGCGCACACAGCAAACUGCGCUCAGGGAGCUUCUGUCUCAGAUCUCAUGGCCAAAUUGUGAAGUGCCUGGUGUGUAUUAGACUCCAGCCUGCUACAUUCAUGCAAGAGUCUGGUUGGACCACAGUGCAUUUACCCGUUCACCUACCGAAGGACAUCUGGGUCGUUUCCAAGUUUGGAAAUGAUGAAUAAAGCUGCUAUCAACAUCCUUGACCCCACAACCUGCUGCUUCCUUCCUGCUGGAGCUCCACAAGGCAUUCAACUCCAUCCCAUCUUUUUCCUUUACUCUUCCCUGAAUUUUUCUCCGAAUGAUGAAGGGAAGGAAGGAAUAAACAGAGGACUGCAUUAGGACUACAUGACAUUACAGGGUAAAAAGGACUUUGCAGAAGGAAUUAAUGUUACAGACUGCCCUGUAGGAAGAUUAUCUGAGAUUAUCUACGUGAGCCCCAUCGAGUCACACAAGCCCUUUAAAAAGGCAGAGAACUUUGUCCAGCUGGAGUCAGAGAGACAGAGAAGGGGCAAGUCAGAGGGCUUCAGAGUGUGUGAGGGACUCAACCUGCUCUUGCUGGCAGGGACCACAUCGAAAUCGCUAGAAGGAAUGCAAGCAGCCUGUAGGGGCAAAGACCAGUUUCUGCUGCGAGCCCACAGACCCACGGGACCCUAGUCCUACAACCAACCACAGGAAAUUGAACUCAACCAACUGUUUGGAAGGGCUUGGGAGUACCCGCAUUCCCAGAGCCCCCCACAAGCAGCACAGCCGGGCUGAAAGGGACCUCAGUUUCAGCCCAGGCAGAGAGCUGCCGAUCGGCCCCCGGGUGGGAGAUACUAGGCAGUGUGGUUUUAAGCCAUUACAUUGGUCGCAAUUUGUUACAGCAGCGAAAGAAAACUUCUGUCCGCUCACCCGCUGGCUGUUCUUCGAGUCUGUGAGCGGGGAGUGCUGUCAGAGGUCAGGGUGUCCUCCUGAGGGCUCACGGCCAAGUCC